UACAGGCAUGCAACCUGUCAGCUUUUGCUCUAAAUCUUGGCUCUGUGCUUGGUCCCAGUUGCUGGCAGCUGCCUCAAACUCCACUGCAUCUCUGAGAGAGAACUUCACCUUCCUGGUGACUCAGUACCUUCUACCUGCCCAGCGCUCCAUGGGUUCUGACCACUGAAGAGCUUCACUGGGCCUCAACCCCACAGGUUGCCUGAAGCUCUGCUCCAUAUACUCUUCACUCCAGGUUGAAGGUAUAGCUUCUAUUUGGAAAACUGCCACUCUUGUAGCAGACAGAAAAGCAGAAUAAGGAAAUCACAAGGUGCCUGCUAAACCUGCUUGGGAGGAACCCUCACUAAUACAUGUUCCUGCUAUGUGGAAAAAGAAAAUUAAACUGAAAAGAGGCAGAAAGAAAGAAAGACAGGACUUCAAGACAUCAAAUUCCAGGUUUCAACACACAUGGGAAAAAGAUAUAUUCAUGGAAUGUGCCUUUGAACCUGCAUUCAAAAGAAUUCAAAC
Hipposideros armiger (great roundleaf bat) is the source of this 504-nucleotide long non-coding RNA. RefSeq lists it as uncharacterized. NCBI's taxonomy places the organism in Eukaryota, Metazoa, Chordata, Mammalia, Chiroptera, Hipposideridae. The record is from RefSeq and is a predicted model, not a curated record. The transcript is spliced from 4 exons.